AUGCCGCGUGAGUGAAGAGGGCCUUUGGGUUGUAAAGCUCUUUUGUAGGGGAAGAUAAUGACUGUACCCUAAGAAUAAGGUCCGGCUAACUUCGUGCCAGCAGCCGCGGUAAUACGAAGGGACCUAGCGUAGUUCGGAAUUACUGGGCGUAAAGCGCGCGUAGGCCGUUGAGUUAGUUAAUUGUGAAAUCCCAAAGCUUAACUUUGGAACUGCAAUUAAAACUGCUCGACUAGAGUUUGAUAGAGGAAAGCGGAAUACAUAGUGUAGAGGUGAAAUUCGUAGAUAUUAUGUAGAACACCAGUUGCGAAGGCGGCUUUCUGGGUCAACACUGACGCUGAGGCGCGAAAGUAUGGGUAGCAAAGAGGAUUAGAUACCCUCGUAGUCCAUACCAUAAACGAUGAUUGCUAGAUGUUGGAAAUUUAUUUUCAGUAUCGCAGCUAACGCAUUAAGCUAUCCGCCUGGGGAGUACGACCGCAAGGUUAAAACUCAAAUGAAUUGACGGGGACCCGCACAAGCGGUGGAGCAUGUGGUUUAAUUCGAAGAUACGCGCAGAACCUUACCAACCCUUGACAUGUCUGUCGCGAGUUUAGGAAACUAGACUUUUCGGUUCGGCCGGACCGAACCCAGGUGCUGCAUGGCUGUCGUCAGCUCGUGUCGUGA
RNAcentral lists this ribosomal RNA (660 nucleotides) under uncultured bacterium. RNAcentral's name for it is "bacterial SSU rRNA". It matches the Rfam family "Bacterial small subunit ribosomal RNA", at positions 394 to 1070 of the family's 1533-position model. The record is from RNAcentral.